UGCCGACGCCGCGCCGCCGGCCACCCUAGCUGCUGCCGCCGGCCACCCUAGCUGCUGCCGCCGGCCCGCCCGCCUCCGGUCCUCCUCCUCCCCGGAUCUGCCGCCGGAGCCGCCGGCGCCUGUUUCUUGCUCCGCUCCGCUUCUGUGCCUCUUGCUCCGCGAUUGAGAUCAACGGGGCAUGGCGGAUCAAAUAGGCCACAGACCCCACCGUCCUCCCCAAGGGUAAAGUCCAAGCUAACUCCCCGUAAAUGGAGAUUGCUGUGUUAGUUCAGGCUUUGGAUUGGCAACUGCUGUAAUCUGGCUGGGAUGUUCGUGGAAGUUCAUAGUAGAGUGAUGUCGGUUUGUUUGGGUUAUCAUAGAUCAAUGGCUCCCUGGCUCGGAGGGCCAUCAAGGACCUGAUGGCUCGUGACCUGUGAUGAGUAUCUCCAUGUGGCUGAAACAUUUCAGAGAUUUUGCGAAUUAGUUCAGUACUAUUGUUGUAAGCUGAAUGUUCAGAGAUUUUAUGGAUUUUGUUCAGAUUCUGAAUGCUGGAAUGUUUGUAAGCUGAACGAAAUACUUUUGUAUGCUGGAUGUGUGGUACUACUAUAUUUUAGGUGUAUGAAAUACUGUUUCUUCACUGUCAAAA
Panicum virgatum (switchgrass) is the source of this 625-nucleotide long non-coding RNA. RefSeq lists it as uncharacterized. NCBI's taxonomy places the organism in Eukaryota, Viridiplantae, Streptophyta, Magnoliopsida, Poales, Poaceae. The transcript is spliced from 4 exons. The record is from RefSeq and is a predicted model, not a curated record.